UGAACGCUGGCGGCGUGCUUAACACAUGCAAGUCGAACGGUAACAGAGGAAGCUUGCUUCCUGCUGACGAGUGGCGCACGGGUGAGUAAUAUAUAGUUAAUGUGCCUCGAAGACUGGGAUAGCCACUGGAAACGGUGAUUAAUACUAGAUAGUCCUGCUAAACAUAAGUUUAGUUGGUAAACGUUUUUCGCUUCGAGAUCAGACUAUAUCCCAUCAGCUUGUUGGUAGUGUAAGAGACUACCAAGGCAAUGACGGGUAGCGGGUUUGAGAGGAUGAUCCGCCACACUGGUACUGAGACACGGACCAGACUCCUACGGGAGGCAGCAGUGAGGAAUAUUGCACAAUGGGGGGAACCCUGAUGCAGCAACGCCGCGUGGAGGAUGACGCAUUUCGGUGUGUAAACUCCUUUUAUGAGUCAAGAAAAUGACGGUAGCUCAUGAAUAAGCACCGGCUAACUCC
RNAcentral lists this ribosomal RNA (459 nucleotides) under uncultured bacterium. RNAcentral's name for it is "bacterial SSU rRNA". It matches the Rfam family "Bacterial small subunit ribosomal RNA", at positions 30 to 504 of the family's 1533-position model. The record is from RNAcentral.